AGCAGUCGCCACGGUAAUACAGAGGAUGCAAGCGUUAUUCGGAAUGAUUGGGCGUAAAGCGUCUGUAGGUGGCUUUUCAAGUCCACCGUCAAAUCCCCGGGCUCAACCCUGGACAAGCAGUGGAAACUACCAAGCUGGAGUACGGUAGGGGUAGAGGGAAUUUCCGGUGGAGCGGUGAAAUGCGUUGAGAUCGGAAAGAACACUAACGACGAAAGCACUCUGCUGGGCCGACACUGAUACUGAGAGACGAAAGCUAGGGGAGCAAAUGGGAUUAGAUACCCCUGUAGUCCCUGUCUCUUAUAC
RNAcentral lists this ribosomal RNA (303 nucleotides) under uncultured bacterium. RNAcentral's name for it is "partial 16S ribosomal RNA". It matches the Rfam family "Bacterial small subunit ribosomal RNA", at positions 507 to 807 of the family's 1533-position model. The record is from RNAcentral.